Molecule: ribosomal RNA, 486 nt
Filed under: uncultured bacterium
Lineage: Bacteria
Description: partial 16S ribosomal RNA
Rfam family: Bacterial small subunit ribosomal RNA
Source: RNAcentral
AUUGAACGCUGGCGGCAUGCCUUACACAUGCAAGUCGAACGGCAGCACGGGUGCUUGCACCUGGUGGCGAGUGGCGAACGGGUGAGUAAUACAUCGGAACAUGUCCUGUAGUGGGGGAUAGCCCGGCGAAAGCCGGAUUAAUACCGCAUACGAUCUACGGAUGAAAGCGGGGGACCUUCGGGCCUCGCGCUAUAGGGUUGGCCGAUGGCUGAUUAGCUAGUUGGUGGGGUAAAGGCCUACCAAGGCGACGAUCAGUAGCUGGUCUGAGAGGACGACCAGCCACACUGGGACUGAGACACGGCCCAGACUCCUACGGGAGGCAGCAGUGGGGAAUUUUGGACAAAGGGCGAGAGCCUGAUCCAGCAAUGCCGCGUGUGUGAAGAAGGCCUUCGGGUUGUAAAGCACUUUUGUCCGGAAAGAAAUCCUUGGCCCUAAUACGGUCGGGGGAUGACGGUACCGGAAGAAUAAGCACCGGCUAACUACGUG